GCUUAGGCAAGGCCCAAGUAAACCCCAAAAAACAAGUGAAUAACAGACGUGUGACAAGCUGACCAACACCAGUUGCUGUUUCAGACGAUGGGGUGUAUGAUGUACGUUUAACUGUACGGGACCGGUGGUGUGGGGUGGUAAUUACACUUUUAACCCAACUUCUAGUAGUAAAGAAUGAGUGAUUCGCGUUCUGGCCCAGCAACAUGUAAGCUGUUGUAAGGCCUAGAAGUGCGUUCAUCUGGCCUUUAGUUAGUUGCAAUGGAAGUGAUUCGCGUUCUGGCCCAGCAACAUAUAAGCUGUUGUAAGGCCUAGAAGUGCGUUCAUCUGGUGUUUAGUUAGUUACGCUAGAAGUGAUUCGCGUUCUGGUCCAGCAACAUGUAAGUUGUUGUAAGGCCUAGAAGUGCGUUCAUCCAUGCCCAUUGAAUCUUUACUUAUUAAUCAGCUUAAAAGUUUAAUGUAAAAGUAAGUAAUGCCUUGUUUUUCAUUUACUUGUGAUGCCGAGUUAUUCUUCAAGUGGAAGUUGGUGCUUCACCUGCAAGUCGAAGAUGGUGCUGGAGGUGGUGCGGGCGCUGGAGCUGGAGGUUGAGCUGGCGCUGGAGCUGGUGCGGGGGCUGGACCUGGAGCUGGCGGUAUUUGAUGAGCGAACUAUAUGACAGUAUAAUUUGUUUUGCAUCCGUCAUUGUAGUGUUUUGUAUUCUGCCUUGUACACUAGCCCAUCAUUCACCUUUUCAA
RNAcentral lists this long non-coding RNA (732 nucleotides) under Daphnia magna. RNAcentral describes it as "uncharacterized LOC123474252, transcript variant X2". Lineage: Eukaryota; Metazoa; Arthropoda; Branchiopoda; Diplostraca; Daphniidae. The record is from RNAcentral.